ACAGAGAGAGGAAACAAACAAACAAACAUAUAGGUAGGACUUAGUGAGUGACUGACACAGUGAGUGAGUAAGUGCAUAUUGUUUGGUGGAGUUGUAUAUAUUUUCUGUUGGUGUGAAAGGUGUGUGUAUAGAUAGCUAGGUAAGUUAAAGAAAAAGAAGGGCAAUGGACCCAACAAUUGCGAAGCAAGCGAUUCAUUACAAACUCCACAAGAGAUUUCCAGAUGGCAGUAUAUCAAAGGAGAAGACAUGCAGAAACCUUUAGGCUCAAAGAUGGAGAGUUCAUCUAUAUAUGCAGAAGAAGGAAAACCAUCCUGAGCACCUGCAAAGGUGGUCAGAAGUGCAGAGGAGGCCACUUCUAUCUUCGAAGAAUUCCAUUCCAGUAAAUUAGGUGGCCACUUUGGGGUGGAAAAGACCCACAGCUCCAUCAUUAACCGCUACUACUGGCCAGGAAUUUUGAAAGAUAUCUGCAAGUGGAUUUCUUAAUGCCCUCAAUGCCAGUCGAAUAAGGGCCCAUUUAAAGGAAAAAAAGGAAUAUAUUCCUAUUGAGGUUACAGAGCCUCUGGAGCUCACAGGAAUGGAUCUGGUGGAUGAACUCACUCAAACAGAGGUUGGUAAUCAGUACAUGUGUGUGUCAUGGUUGAUUAUUUCACCAAAUGGGCCAAGGCCCACCCACUAAAAAGUAAAACAGCAGAGGAGGUCACAAAACCACAGUUUUACGUCACUAAAAACGAUCUUUUCUGAAAACUCCAGCCAAAGUGGAGCUUUUGGAAAACUCCUGUUUCGUGGUUACAUGUGUGCGCCAGAAAGUGGCGUUUUUGGUUCUCAAACGUCACAGCUUGCGCCAUGUUUGAAUCUCUGGCGGAAGAGACAGAAUGAGGGAAGUUCAUUCUGAUUGGCUUGCACGGGUGUCACAUCUGAAAAACACUGCCACCUAUGGGUUUGGUAUGCUUAGAGCAGUAUUUAACGGUGGAUUUGCGGUUAUGUGUGGACGAGGGUUUUUUUGGUUUAACAAUCAGGUGUGGACGAAAGUAUUUUUAAAAACGAAUGAAGGGGGAUAUUCAUUUUAGAAAAUACUCAGCUACGUGUGUACAAGGCCUGAAGGUUCAUCACCAGGUGAGGAGAUCUUGAUUGCCAAGGAUUAUCUGCAGCUGGGAGCGUCAAUGAGUGACGCCAGCUGAGCUGGAACUUAAGUGGGUGAGUUAAAAAGUUUUACUCCAGCAGAAUUUACUGUUUUUUACUA
Molecule: long non-coding RNA, 1240 nt
Organism: Cheilinus undulatus (humphead wrasse)
Lineage: Eukaryota; Metazoa; Chordata; Actinopteri; Labriformes; Labridae
Exons: 4
Source: RefSeq, a predicted model, not a curated record